Molecule: ribosomal RNA, 830 nt
Filed under: uncultured delta proteobacterium
Lineage: Bacteria; Deltaproteobacteria
Description: bacterial SSU rRNA
Rfam family: Bacterial small subunit ribosomal RNA
Source: RNAcentral
CUGGCGCUGCUACCAUGCAAGUCGUACGCGAAAGUCCUUCGGGAUGAGUAAAGUGGCGCACGGGUGAGUUAUGCAUAGGAACGUGCCUUUUGGAGGGGGAUAACCACGGGAAACUGUGGCUAAUACCGCGUAAUCUCGCGAGAGUAAAGGUGGCCUCUACUUGUAAGCUACCGCCGAAAGAGCGGCCUAUGUCCCAUUAGCUAGUUGGUGGGGUAAUAGCCUACCAAGGCAACGAUGGGUAGCUGGUCUGAGAGGACGAUCAGCCACACUGGAACUGAGACACGGUCCAGACUCCUACGGGAGGCAGCAGUGGGGAAUAUUGCACAAUGGGCGAAAGCCUGAUGCAGCAACGCCGCGUGAGUGAAGAAGGCCUUCGGGUUGUAAAGCUCUUUCGCCAGGGAAUAAGGGUGAGUGGGUAAAUAAUCCAAUCAUCUGACGGUACCUGGAUAAGAAGCACCGGCUAAUUCCGUGCCAGCAGCCGCGGUAAUACGGAAGGUGCGAGCGUUGUUCGGAAUUACUGGGCGUAAAGGGCGCGUAGGCGGAUCUGUAAGUCGAUUGGGAAAUCCCCGGGCUUAACCUGGGAAUUGCAGUCGAAACUACAGACCUUGAAUGUCAGAGAGGGUGGGGGAAUUCCUGGUGUAGAAGUGAAAUUCGUAGAUAUCAGGAGGAACACCGGAGGCGAAAGCGCCUACCUGGCUGUGCAUUGACGCUGAGGCGCGAAAGCGUGGGGAGCAAACAGGAUUAGAUACCCUGGUAGUCCACGCCAUAACGAUGGAUACUAGUGUUCGAAGUGUUAACCCUUUGAGUACCGAAGUUCACGCAUUAAGUAU